RNAcentral lists this ribosomal RNA (309 nucleotides) under uncultured eukaryote. Its description in RNAcentral is "partial 18S ribosomal RNA". It matches the Rfam family "Eukaryotic small subunit ribosomal RNA", at positions 1470 to 1796 of the family's 1831-position model. The record is from RNAcentral.
CCCUUAGAUGUUCUGGGCGGCCCGCGCACUACAUUGGCACUCUCAAUAAGUUCCUAGAUCUAAAACUUUGGGGUAUUCUAUUAAGUGGCGUCGUGACUGGGAUUAACCCUUGCAAUUAUUGGUUACGAACGAGGAAUUCCUUGUAAUCGCGGUUUAUCAGCCCGCGUUGAAUGCGUCCCUGCCCUUUGUACACACCGCCCGUCGCUCCUACCGAUGAAUCGUCCGGUGAAGUUCAUGGAGUGGUGGUUGUUCCAGCUGCUGUCGAAGUGAAAUGGACCUCACGAUUUAGAGGAAGGAGAAGUCGUAACA